RNAcentral lists this ribosomal RNA (468 nucleotides) under uncultured bacterium. Its description in RNAcentral is "partial 16S ribosomal RNA". It matches the Rfam family "Bacterial small subunit ribosomal RNA", at positions 28 to 507 of the family's 1533-position model. The record is from RNAcentral.
GAUGAACGCUGGCGGCGUGCUUAACACAUGCAAGUCGAACGGUGAAGGCGGAGCUUGCUCUGCUGGAUCAGUGGCGAACGGGUGAGUAACACGUGAGCAAUCUGCCCCUGACUCUGGGAUAAGCGCUGGAAACGGUGUCUAAUACUGGAUACGAGCUGCGAAGGCAUCUUCAGCAGCUGGAAAGAAUUUCGGUCAGGGAUGAGCUCGCGGCCUAUCAGCUUGUUGGUGAGGUAAUGGCUCACCAAGGCGUCGACGGGUAGCCGGCCUGAGAGGGUGACCGGCCACACUGGGACUGAGACACGGCCCAGACUCCUACGGGAGGCAGCAGUGGGGAAUAUUGCACAAUGGGCGAAAGCCUGAUGCAGCAACGCCGCGUGAGGGACGACGGCCUUCGGGUUGUAAACCUCUUUUAGCAGGGAAGAAGCGAAAGUGACGGUACCUGCAGAAAAAGCGCCGGCUAACUACGUG